AAAGGCGCUUUCGGGUGUCGCUGAUGGAUGGACCCGCGGUGCAUUAGCUAGUUGGUGAGGUAACGGCUCACCAAGGCCACGAUGCAUAGCCGACCUGAGAGGGUGAUCGGCCACAUUGGGACUGAGACACGGCCCAAACUCCUACGGGAGGCAGCAGUAGGGAAUCUUCGGCAAUGGACGAAAGUCUGACCGAGCAACGCCGCGUGAGUGAAGAAGGUUUUCGGAUCGUAAAACUCUGUUGUUAGAGAAGAACAAGGAUGAGAGUAACUGUUCAUCCCUUGACGGUAUCUAACCAGAAAGCCACGGCUAACUACGUGCCAGCAGCCGCGGUAAUACGUAGGUGGCAAGCGUUGUCCGGAUUUAUUGGGCGUAAAGCGAGCGCAGGCGGUUUCUUAAGUCUGAUGUGAAAGCCCCCGGCUCAACCGGGGAGGGUCAUUGGAAACUGGGAGACUUGAGUGCAGAAGAGGAGAGUGGAAUUCCAUGUGUAGCGGUGAAAUGCGUAGAUAUAUGGAGGAACACCAGUGGCGAAGGCGGCUCUCUGGUCUGUAACUGACGCUGAGGCUCGAAAGCGUGGGGAGCAAACAGGAUUAGAUACCCUGGUAGUCCACGCCGUAAACGAUGAGUGCUAAGUGUUGGAGGGUUUCCGCCCUUCAGUGCUGCAGCUAACGCAUUAAGCACUCCGCCUGGGGAGUACGACCGCAAGGUUGAAACUCAAAGGAAUUGACGGGGGCCCGCACAAGCGGUGGAGCAUGUGGUUUAAUUCGAAGCAACGCGAAGAACCUUACCAGGUCUUGACAUCCUUUGACCACUCUAGAGAUAGAGCUUCCCCUUCGGGGGCAAAGUGACAGGUGGUGCAUGGUUGUCGUCAGCUCGUGUCGUGAGAUGUUGGGUUAAGUCCCGCAACGAGCGCAACCCUUAUUGUUAGUUGCCAUCAUUCA
Molecule: ribosomal RNA, 938 nt
Filed under: Enterococcus faecium
Lineage: Bacteria; Bacillati; Bacillota; Bacilli; Lactobacillales; Enterococcaceae
Description: bacterial SSU rRNA
Rfam family: Bacterial small subunit ribosomal RNA
Source: RNAcentral